UACGUAGGGAGCGAGCGUUGUCCGGAUUCAUUGGGCGUAAAGAGCUCGUAGGCGGCUUGAUAAGUCGGAUGUGAAACCUCCAGGCUCAACCUGGAGUCGCCAUCCGAUACUGUCAUGGCUAAAGUCCGGUAGGGGCCCACGGAAUUCCUGGCGUAGCGGUGAAAUGCGCAGAUAUCAGGAGGAACACCGGUGGCGAAGGCGGUGGGCUGGGCCGGCACUGACGCUGAGGAGCGAAAGCGUGGGGAGCGAACAGG
Molecule: ribosomal RNA, 254 nt
Filed under: uncultured bacterium
Lineage: Bacteria
Description: partial 16S ribosomal RNA
Rfam family: Bacterial small subunit ribosomal RNA
Source: RNAcentral